UCUAGAGUAUNGGAGAGGAAAGUGGAAUUCCUAGUGUAGCGGUGAAAUGCGUAGAUAUUAGGAAGAACACCAGUGGCGAAGGCGACUUUCUGGACGAAAACUGACGCUGAGGCGCGAAAGCCAGGGGAGCGAACGGGAUUAGAUACCCCGGUAGUCCUGGCCGUAAACGAUGGGUACUAGGUGUAGGAGGUAUCGACCCCUUCUGUGCCGGAGUUAACGCAAUAAGUACCCCGCCUGGGGAGUACGACCGCAAGGUUGAAACUCAAAGGAAUUGACGGGGGCCCGCACAGGCGGUGGAGUAUGUGGUUUAAUUCGACGCAACGCGAAGAACCUUACCAGGUCUUGACAUUGAUGGACAGAACCAGAGAUGGUUCCUCUUCUUCGGAAGCCAGAAAACAGGUGGUGCACGGUUGUCGUCAGCUCGUGUCGUGAGAUGUUGGAUUAAGUCCCGCAACGAGCGCAACCCCUAUCUUAUGUUGCCAGCACUUUGGGUGGGGACUCAUGAGAGACUGCCGCAGACAACGCGGAGGAAGGCGGGGAUGACGUCAAAUCAUCAUGCCCCUUAUGACCUGGGCUACACACGUACUACAAUGGGAGUUAAUAGACGGAAGCGAGAUCGCGAGAUGGAGUAAACCCGAGAAACACUCUCUCAGUUCGGAUCGUAGGCUGCAACUCGCCUACGUGAAGUCGGAAUCGCUAGUAAUCGCAGGUCAGCAUACUGCGGUGAAUACGUUCCCGGGCCUUGUACACAC
RNAcentral lists this ribosomal RNA (752 nucleotides) under uncultured bacterium. RNAcentral's name for it is "bacterial SSU rRNA". It matches the Rfam family "Bacterial small subunit ribosomal RNA", at positions 640 to 1390 of the family's 1533-position model. The record is from RNAcentral.